This 119-nucleotide ribosomal RNA is filed under the name Helianthus annuus (common sunflower). Lineage: Eukaryota; Viridiplantae; Streptophyta; Magnoliopsida; Asterales; Asteraceae. The record is from RNAcentral.
CGUUGCGAUCAUACCAACACUAAUGCACCGGAUCCCAUCAGAACUCCGCAGUUAAGCGUGCUUGGGCGAGAGUAGUAUUAGGAUGGGUGACCCCCUGGGAAGUCCUCGUGUUGCAACCC